Molecule: ribosomal RNA, 528 nt
Filed under: Fragilariopsis kerguelensis
Lineage: Eukaryota; Bacillariophyta; Bacillariophyceae; Bacillariales; Bacillariaceae
Description: partial Bacterial small subunit ribosomal RNA
Rfam family: Bacterial small subunit ribosomal RNA
Source: RNAcentral
ACGGAGAGUUUGAUCCUGGCUCAGGAUGAACGCUAGCGGCAGGCCUAAUACAUGCAAGUCGAGGGGCAGCACGGUUUUCGGACUGGUGGCGACCGGCGCACGGGUGCGUAACGCGUAUGCAACCUACCUUUUACAGGGGGAUAGCCCGGGGAAACUCGGAUUAAUACCCCAUGGUAUCAUAAGAUCGCAUGAUUUAAUGAUUAAAGAUUUAUCGGUAAAAGAUGGGCAUGCGUCUGAUUAGCUAGAUGGUGAGGUAACGGCUCACCAUGGCAAUGAUCAGUAGGGGUUCUGAGAGGAUGAUCCCCCACACUGGUACUGAGAUACGGACCAGACUCCUACGGGAGGCAGCAGUAGGGAAUAUUGGUCAAUGGGCGAGAGCCUGAACCAGCCAUGCCGCGUGUAGGAUGACGGCCUUCUGGGUUGUAAACUACUUUUCUACAGGAAGAAAAAGACUAUGCGUAGUCAAUUGACGGUACUGUAGGAAUAAGCACCGGCUAACUCCGUGCCAGCAGCCGCGGUAAUACGGAG